RNAcentral lists this non-coding RNA (28 nucleotides) under Rattus norvegicus (Norway rat). The record is from RNAcentral. Lineage: Eukaryota; Metazoa; Chordata; Mammalia; Rodentia; Muridae.
UGCUAUUGUAGAAAUUCUUAUUGAGAAC